GUCAUAGUCCUACCGGCAUUCAGCCGAGGGCUUGUGGGACAAUCCACAAGCCUGUCUAUGACCAGACCAUCCGCCUGAGCCGCAGGACACGGCGCUGACGGCGGAGCGUUGACCAGAGGUUCAAGACCGACGUUGGAAUGCUGCUUCAGUUCCAACCUCUCGAAGCUCCGGUUGCAGACACCCUUCAGGGAAAGGACGAAACGAACCGGAGCGGGAUGCCGCUGAUCAACACGGUCGAGGAGAGCCGCC
Kouleothrix aurantiaca is the source of this 249-nucleotide non-coding RNA. NCBI's taxonomy places the organism in Bacteria, Bacillati, Chloroflexota, Chloroflexia, Chloroflexales, Roseiflexaceae. The record is from Rfam.